AGUAACGGCGAGCGAACGGGGAAGAGCUCGUAGCCGAAUCCCGAGCCCUAGGGCUUGGGAAAUGUGGCGUUUGGGAGGCGACAUACCUCCAGGUGCGGGCGUGGGUGCAAGUCCCCAUGAGAGGGGCUACUUCCCGGAGCGGGUGCUAGGCCCUUACCACCCUUGCACGUACCUGGAGCGUCGUGUUCCCUGGAGUCGGGUUGCUUGGGAGUGCAGCCCAAAGUGGGUGGUAAACUCCACCUAAAGCUAAAUAUGACCGAGAGACCGAUAGCAAACAAGUACCGUGAGGGAAAGUUGAAAAGCACUUUGAAGAGAGAGUUCAAGAGUACGUGAAACCGUUUGGAGGUAAACGGGUGGGGCCUCGAAAGCCUAAGGUAGUGGCGGAUUCAGCUUCGGGUUGUCUCGCAUAACUUAGUGUCCGACCCCGCUAGGGGUGGGCCUGAGGGAGUGGGCUGCCCGGGGUGCAUUUCUGUUCCCUACCCAUCGGGACGUCGCAACCGGUUGGAAGGCCGUCGUGGGGUUUUCAAGUAAGGUGGCCGCCKUUUCCUUUGUGAGAUGGCGGUGUUAAGGCUUGAUCAUUCCUGAGGGGCCAUCCGACCGUGGUGGAGGAUAUCCUCGAUUACGUUCCCGCCUAAUGCGACCUGCUCUGGGCCAUGGGCCCGGUUGAGUGUGCCACCCUCUGGGUGAGCACUCGCCGGUGUCCAGGAUCCCUUUUGCAGCGUUGCGGGGAGCUUGAGGUUGGCGACGAGUAGGUCGGUCUCCCACCCGACCCGUCUUGAAACACGGACCAAGGAGUCCAAUGCACGUGCGAGUUCCCGGGACUUGAAUAGGCCCGUGGGCGCAAUGAAAGUGAAGGAUUCCUUCGGGAGUCUGAGCUGGGAUCCCUUCUAGGGCGCACCAGCGGCCCGUUCGUGCUCGGUUUCGGGCGGACGGCGCUAGAGCACGUGCCUUGGGACCCGAAAGAUGGUGAACUAUGCCUGGGCAGGGUGAAGCCAGAGGAAACUCUGGUGGAGGCCCGUAGCGAUUCUGACGUGCAAAUCGAUCGUCAGACCUUGGUAUA
This 1060-nucleotide ribosomal RNA is filed under the name Nanolpium sp. JM-2008. Its description in RNAcentral is "eukaryotic LSU rRNA". It matches the Rfam family "Eukaryotic large subunit ribosomal RNA", at positions 82 to 919 of the family's 3401-position model. Lineage: Eukaryota; Metazoa; Arthropoda; Arachnida; Pseudoscorpiones; Olpiidae. The record is from RNAcentral.